GCACGAUGGGCAGGUGGAUGGGCAGCAAACAUAACCCUGGGGAAUUGUUCACAUAUGCUAGAACCCCUAUCAGGUGACAGCCCCCAGAGAGACUCACAGCUGCAGCAAGCAGGGAGUGCAAGCCUCAAACCUAUACCAGCGAGAAACCUCAGUUUUGUUCCUCCUUGUCGGCUCUGCACAUUACCUUAAACUUACGCUCACCCAGUUGGUUACCCCUUGGAAGUUAUAGGUAUCAAAGAUCAAGUCCUGCCACAAACCCUUCAACAUACAAACAGUUAAGCACUUGCUAUGGCUAUCAGGCCUGUUUCCAAACCUCCCAUUAUUACACCAGGUUGUACUGCGGGGGCGUGGGGGCCGGUGAAGUGGGGGAAAGCAUUUUAAAGAGUACUGCAAGAUGCUUAUUCACAACACCACACUGGAAGCGCAGGAACUUCAGCUCCCAAACGCAACCUUUCUCCCCCCUCCCUCCAGUCCCUCUCCACCGCGCCCGCCAAAGCCAGAGCUCAGCCCACGGAAGGCCACCGCGCUCCAGCGGGUGUCCACUGAACAGUAGCUGAUCACGGUGAUGGGGCCGGAAAGCCCCACACGCUCUCAGCAGCCAGUGAGAACUGUCCAGACCUGCCUCCCCACGCCCGCCGGGGCAGGAGCGUGCGGGUAGGAAACCUGAGGCCCCGAGGUUUGGGCAGGCACAACGUCCCCCCCUCCCCCAAGUCUGCCCUCGCUCUCUCCCUUGUCACUCUUUUUCUGGCAUAUCACUGGGGAAAACCGGGGAGGCCGGAGAUGUCAGGCCCAAGAAGAGUAAGGAGAAGGGACAAGGGCGAACGGGAGGCAGUAUUUUUUGGUGGGAGGGAAAUCUGUCCAGAGCGGAGGUGCGGUAGCGCCGCAUCUCGCGGGGAAGAACCCCCAGACCGCGAGGCCUGUGGAACUUCCCUGACCAGGGAUCAAACCUGUGACUCUUGCAGUGGAAGUGCACAAUCCUAACCACUGGACCACCAGGGAAGCAUUCAGCGAUAUUUUAAUCUUCAAACUCUGUUCAGGCCUCCCAGUGAACUGCCAUCUGCCACGCAACACAAGUGAAGAACCAAAGCUGAGUUUUUUGGCCUUUUUUUUAGUGGCUAAAGCCUCACCCCAGCCACUAUGGAAGAAAAGGUCCCCCCACCGAACUCCCUCUUCUUUGAAGAAACACAACUGAGACCAAGAGAGAAGUAGCUAUAGUUUAAUACAAACCUGCACCAGAACACAA
This is a long non-coding RNA of Capra hircus (goat), 1243 nucleotides long. RefSeq lists it as uncharacterized. The record is from RefSeq and is a predicted model, not a curated record. The transcript has 2 exons. NCBI's taxonomy places the organism in Eukaryota, Metazoa, Chordata, Mammalia, Artiodactyla, Bovidae.